GAACGCUAGCGGCAGGCUUAACACAUGCAAGUCGAGGGGCAGCAUGAGACGGAGAUUCGCCGAAGUCUUGAUGGCGACCGGCGCAAGGGUGCGUAACGCGUGAGCAACUUGCCCGUUUCUGGGGAAUAACCGGUGGAAACGCCGACUAAUACCCCAUGGCAUUGAUUUCAGGCAUCUGUUAUCAAUUAAAGAAUUUCGGAAACGGAUAGGCUCGCGUGACAUUAGCUGGAUGGCGGGGUAACGGCCCACCAUGGCGACGAUGUCUAGGGGUUCUGAGAGGAAGGUCCCCCACACUGGAACUGAGACACGGUCCAGACUCCUACGGGAGGCAGCAGUGAGGAAUAUUGGUCAAUGGCCGGGAGGCUGAACCAGCCAUGCCGCGUGAAGGUCACGGCCCUAUGGGUCUUAAACUUCUUUUGUAAGGGAGCAAUAAGGUUCACGUGUGGACUGAUGAGAGUACCUUACGAAUAAGCAUCGGCUAACUCCGUG
RNAcentral lists this ribosomal RNA (489 nucleotides) under uncultured bacterium. Its description in RNAcentral is "bacterial SSU rRNA". It matches the Rfam family "Bacterial small subunit ribosomal RNA", at positions 31 to 507 of the family's 1533-position model. The record is from RNAcentral.